RNAcentral lists this unclassified non-coding RNA (223 nucleotides) under uncultured Chaetothyriales. RNAcentral's name for it is "sequence contains ITS1". Lineage: Eukaryota; Fungi; Ascomycota; Eurotiomycetes; Chaetothyriales. The record is from RNAcentral.
CCGAGUUAGGGUCCCCCUUCGGGGGUGGCCCGACCUCCCAACCCCGUGUCUACUCAACUUGUACGUGUUGCUUCGGCGGACCGGCGUCGCAAGACCGCCGCCGGGGGGUGUCCAACCCCUUGGAGAGUGUCCGCCGAUGGCCCAACCAAACCACAUUAUCAAAACCAAAACGAUUGAACCCUCCAUUCUGAAUCAGACCAUUUUGAUAUACCAAUCAAAAACA